CCUACGGGAGGCAGCAGUGGGGAAUAUUGGACAAUGGGCGCAAGCCUGAUCCAGCAAUGCCGCGUGAGUGAUGAAGGCCUUAGGGUCGUAAAGCUCUUUUACCAGGGAUGAUAAUGACAGUACCUGGAGAAUAAGCUCCGGCUAACUCCGUGCCAGCAGCCGCGGUAAUACGGAGGGAGCUAGCGUUGUUCGGAAUUACUGGGCGUAAAGCGUACGUAGGCGGUUAUUCAAGUCAGAGGUGAAAGCCCGGGGCGUCAACCCCGGAACGGCCUUUGAAACUAGGUAGCUAGAAUCUUGGAGAGGUCAGUGGAAUUCCGAGUGUAGAGGUGAAAUUCGUAGAUAUUCGGAAGAACACCAGUGGCGAAGGCGACUGACUGGACAAGUAUUGACGCUGAGGUACGAAAGCGUGGGGAGCAAACAGGAUUAGAUACCCUGGUAGUCCACGCCGUAAACGAUGAUAACUAGCUGUCCGGGCACUUGGUGCCUGGGUGGCGCAGCUAACGCAUUAAGUUAUCCGCCUGGGGAGUACGGUCGCAAGAUUAAAACUUAAAUGAAUUGACGG
This 562-nucleotide ribosomal RNA is filed under the name uncultured bacterium. Its description in RNAcentral is "bacterial SSU rRNA". It matches the Rfam family "Bacterial small subunit ribosomal RNA", at positions 338 to 916 of the family's 1533-position model. The record is from RNAcentral.